Molecule: ribosomal RNA, 207 nt
Filed under: uncultured bacterium
Lineage: Bacteria
Description: partial 16S ribosomal RNA
Rfam family: Bacterial small subunit ribosomal RNA
Source: RNAcentral
UCUCAGUUCGGAUCGGAGUCUNCAACCCGACUCCGUGAAGCUGGAUUCGCUAGUAAUCGCGCAUCAGCCAUGGCGCGGUGAAUACGUUCCCGGGCCUUGUACACACCGCCCGUCAAGCCAUGGGAGCCGGGGGUGCUUGAAGUGCGUCGCCGCAAGGCGCGCCCUAGAGCAAAACCGGUGACUGGGGCUAAGUCGUAACAAGGUAAC